RNAcentral lists this ribosomal RNA (556 nucleotides) under uncultured bacterium. Its description in RNAcentral is "partial 16S ribosomal RNA". It matches the Rfam family "Bacterial small subunit ribosomal RNA", at positions 355 to 932 of the family's 1533-position model. The record is from RNAcentral.
UGGGGAAUAUUGCACAAUGGGCGAAAGCCUGAUGCAGCAACGCCGCGUGAGUGAUGAAGGCCUUCGGGUUGUAAAGCUCUGUCUUUUGGGACGAUAAUGACGGUACCAAAGGAGGAAGCCACGGCUAACUACGUGCCAGCAGCCGCGGUAAUACGUAGGUGGCAAGCGUUGUCCGGAUUUACUGGGCGUAAAGGAUGCGUAGGCGGAUUUUUAAGUGAGAUGUGAAAACCCUAAGCUUAACUUGGGGACUGCAUUUCAUACUGGAAAUCUAGAGUGCGGGAGAGGAGAAUGGAAUUCCUAGUGUAGCGGUGAAAUGCGUAGAGAUUAGGAAGAACACCAGUGGCGAAGGCGAUUCUCUGGACCGUAACUGACGCUGAGGCAUGAAAGCGUGGGUAGCAAACAGGAUUAGAUACCCUGGUAGUCCACGCCGUAAACGAUGAGUACUAGGUGUAGGGGGUAUCGACCCCUUCUGUGCCGCAGUUAACACAAUAAGUACUCCGCCUGGGAAGUACGAUCGCAAGAUUAAAACUCAAAUGAAUUGACGGGGUCAUAGCUG